UAUGGCAAACACUGUGCUUAAGACUCC
RNAcentral lists this non-coding RNA (27 nucleotides) under Mus musculus (house mouse). The record is from RNAcentral. Lineage: Eukaryota; Metazoa; Chordata; Mammalia; Rodentia; Muridae.